UGACGUUAGCAUGAACUGUUCUGGAUAAUGUUGAUUAAAUUAAUUAAAUAAAUCCUAAAAAUGAUUUAAAUCUUUUAAUCUACUACCACUAUAAAAAAAAAAGAGGGCGGAGAACCAGAUCAUCUUAUCCAUCGAAACCUGCAAUCUGAUGGUCUACAUCCCUCCAGCAUACUAAACGCGUUUUACCCUUUAAUUACCCACCAUGCCAUCUACUAUCCCUAUAAAAAAAAAAGAGAAGAGCAGAUCCAAACAACCAUGUCCAUCCAUCAAUAAAAUCUAAUGAUCCUUAAUCCUUCAGUGUUUAACACCACCAAUCACGCACUAACGCUGCACCGCGGUUAAAAAAGAGAUGCCAACAACGCACGACCUAUCGCCCACUCCUCACGCCCGCACGACCUAUCGCCUCCUCCUCCUCCUCCCAACGGAAGUCACAGCACGGAAGGGCAGCCGCGGGAGCCACCGACCGACGGAGCCACCCUUCGCCGUAGGUCGCCGCAGGAGCCGUCGCGCUCUUAGCCGCGGGACGCCGCCCUUCGCCGCAGGUCGCCGCGGGAGACGCCGCCGCGACGCCGCGGGAGCCGCCGACGGAGCCGCCCGCCGCGCCCUUCGAGCCGCAGGUCGCCGUUCCUCUUCUGCUUCCCGGCGGCCAAAUGUGAGCGUACAACCAAGAGCAUGUGGCAGAGGAGCGGAGGCAUGGGACGCAACAUGGGGCAGAGGAGCAAUGGCGUGAUGGUUGCGCAGAGGGAAUGUUCGUGAGGACGAAACGGUACAUAUUUUUAGGGGCUAAUUGCGGGGAUUAAUUAAGCAUGCACUUAACUUGGUUGAUGGUUGAUGGCUUGAUGCUCAAUAUUGGGAGGAUUUCAACUUUCUCAUUGUUGCGGUCUAUGGCGAGAGCAAAGUACAAAUGCGAUUAUUUAAAUAUAUGGACUAGCUAGAAAGCAUACCAAAAAUAUGCUUUUUGAAAGUACCCUUUCCUCUGAACAUGUAUGUAUCCCAGUGCUCCACAUUCCACUGAAUUCUGGACAAAUAUGCUACUUCCUAUCACUACCUUUUCCUCUAUUACUUUA
Molecule: long non-coding RNA, 1067 nt
Organism: Triticum dicoccoides
Lineage: Eukaryota; Viridiplantae; Streptophyta; Magnoliopsida; Poales; Poaceae
Exons: 2
Source: RefSeq, a predicted model, not a curated record